UGGGGAAUAUUGGGCAAUGGGCGCAAGCCUGACCCAGCGACGCCGCGUGAGGGAAGAAGGUUUUCGGAUUGUAAACCUCUGUCUUCAGGGACGAUAAUGACGGUACCUGAGGAGGAAGCCACGGCUAACUACGUGCCAGCAGCCGCGGUAAUACGUAGGUGGCAAGCGUUGUCCGGAAUUACUGGGUGUAAAGGGAGCGUAGGCGGGAUUGCAAGUUGAAUGUUAAAACUAUCGGCUCAACUGGUAGCUGCGUUCAAAAACUGCAAUUCUUGAGUGAAGUAGAGGCAGGCGGAAUUCCUAGUGUAGCGGUGAAAUGCGUAGAUAUUCGGAGGAACACCGGUGGCGAAGGCGGCCAACUGGG
RNAcentral lists this ribosomal RNA (361 nucleotides) under uncultured Oscillospiraceae bacterium. RNAcentral's name for it is "bacterial SSU rRNA". It matches the Rfam family "Bacterial small subunit ribosomal RNA", at positions 355 to 733 of the family's 1533-position model. Lineage: Bacteria; Bacillati; Bacillota; Clostridia; Eubacteriales; Oscillospiraceae. The record is from RNAcentral.